GACGAACGCUGGCGGCGUGCUUAACACAUGCAAGUCGAACGGAAAGGCCCUGAUUUUGUGUGGUGCUUGAGAGGCGAACGGGUGAGUAACACGUGAGUAAACUGUCCUUGACUUUGGGAUAAAUUCAGGAAAAUGGGGCUAAUAUAGGAUAGGAGAUUCUGCUGCAUGGUGGGGGAUGGAAAGUUUCGGCGGUUGGGGAUGGACUCGCGGCUUAUCAGCUUGAUGGUGAGGUAGUGGCUUACCAAGGCUUUGACGGGUAGCCGGCCUGAGAGGGUGACCGGCCACAUUGGGACUGAGAUACGGCCCAGACUCCUACGGGAGGCAGCAGUGGGGAAUAUUGCACAAUGGGCGGAAGCCUGAUGCAGCAACGCCGCGUGCGGGAUGACGGCCUACGGGGUGUAAACCGCUUUCGCCUUUGACGAGGCGUGAGUGACGGUAAUUGGUAAAGAAGCACCGGCUAACUACGUG
Molecule: ribosomal RNA, 468 nt
Filed under: uncultured bacterium
Lineage: Bacteria
Description: partial 16S ribosomal RNA
Rfam family: Bacterial small subunit ribosomal RNA
Source: RNAcentral